GACGAACGCUGGCGGCGUGCUUAACACAUGCAAGUCGAACGGAAAGGCCCUGCUUGCAGGGUACUCGAGUGGCGAACGGGUGAGUAACACGUGGGUGAUCUGCCCUGCACUUCGGGAUAAGCCUGGGAAACUGGGUCUAAUACCGGAUAGGAGCCAUUUUUAGUGUGAUGGUUGGAAAGUUUUUUCGGUGUAGGAUGAGCUCGCGGCCUAUCAGCUUGUUGGUGGGGUAAUGGCCUACCGAGGCGGCGACGGGUAGCCGGCCUGAGAGUGUGGACGGCCACAUUGGGACUGAGAUACGGCCCAGACUCCUACGGGAGGCAGCAGUGGGGAAUAUUGCACAAUGCGCGCAAGCCUGAUGCAGCGACGCCGCGUGGGGGAUGACGGCCUUCGGGUUGUAAACUCCUUUCGCUAGGGACGAAGCUUUUUGUGACGGUACCUAGAUAAGAAGCACCGGCUAACUACGUG
This 465-nucleotide ribosomal RNA is filed under the name uncultured bacterium. Its description in RNAcentral is "partial 16S ribosomal RNA". It matches the Rfam family "Bacterial small subunit ribosomal RNA", at positions 28 to 507 of the family's 1533-position model. The record is from RNAcentral.